GGAGGUAGUGACAAUAAAUCACAAUGCGGGACUCCUAGUCUUGCAAUUGGAUUGAGAACAACGUACAACUCUUAUCGAUAAGCCAUUGGAGGGCAAGUCUGGUGCCAGCAGCCGCGGUAAUUCCAGCUCCAAUAGCGUAUAUUAACGUUGUUGCAGUUAAAAAGCUCGUAGUUGAAGUGAGGGAGUGUGUGGGUAUGAGAGCUAGUCUCAAGUACUUACAACCUCCCCCCUCCAAUCGGUGUAGUGGGGUAUUCAGUUAUUCUACUACUCCUUUGGUCGUUUACUGUGAGAAAAUUAGAGUGUUCAAAGCGGGCGUUUGUUUGAAUAGAUUAGCAUGGAAUAAUGAUUGAAGGCUUUCGUGUUCGAUUUGAUUGGUUUGUUCAUGGAAGCAAGGUUAAAAGGAACAGUUGGGGGUAUUCAUAUUCACUAGUUAGAGGUGAAAUUCUCGGAUUUAUGGAAGAUGAACAAGUGCGAAAGCA
This 479-nucleotide ribosomal RNA is filed under the name Blastocystis sp. Its description in RNAcentral is "SSU rRNA". It matches the Rfam family "Eukaryotic small subunit ribosomal RNA", at positions 460 to 953 of the family's 1831-position model. Lineage: Eukaryota; Bigyra; Opalinata; Blastocystidae. The record is from RNAcentral.